UUAAGUUAUUAAGGGCGCACGGUGGAUGCCUUGGCACUAGAAGCCGAUGAAGGACGUUACUAACGACGAUAUGCUUUGGGGAGCUGUAAGUAAGCUUUGAUCCAGAGAUUUCCGAAUGGGGAAACCCAGCAUGAGUUAUGUCAUGUUAUCGAUAUGUGAAUACAUAGCAUAUCAGAAGGCACACCCGGAGAACUGAAACAUCUUAGUACCCGGAGGAAGAGAAAGAAAAUUCGAUUCCCUUAGUAGCGGCGAGCGAAACGGGAAGAGCCCAAACCAAAAAGCUUGCUUGUUGGGGUUGUAGGACACUCUAUACGGAGUUACAAAGGACGACAUUAGACGAAUCAUCUGGAAAGAUGAAUCAAAGAAGGUAAUAAUCCUGUAGUCGAAAAUGUUGUCUCUCUUGAGUGGAUCCUGAGUACGACGGAGCACGUGAAAUUCCGUCGGAAUCUGGGAGGACCAUCUCCUAAGGCUAAAUACUCUCUAGUGACCGAUAGUGAACCAGUACCGUGAGGGAAAGGUGAAAAGCACCCCGGAAGGGGAGUGAAAUAGAACCUGAAACCGUGUGCUUACAAGUAGUCAGAGCCCGUUAAUGGGUGAUGGCGUGCCUUUUGUAGAAUGAACCGGCGAGUUACGAUUUGAUGCAAGGUUAAGCAGUAAAUGUGGAGCCGUAGCGAAAGCGAGUCUGAAUAGGGCGUUUAGUAUUUGGUCGUAGACCCGAAACCAGGUGAUCUACCCUUGGUCAGGUUGAAGUUCAGGUAACACUGAAUGGAGGACCGAACCGACUUACGUUGAAAAGUGAGCGGAUGAACUGAGGGUAGCGGAGAAAUUCCAAUCGAACCUGGAGAUAGCUGGUUCUCUCCAAAAUAGCUUUAGGGCUAGCCUCAAGUGAUGAUUAUUGGAGGUAGAGCACUGUUUGGACGAGGGGCCCCUCUCGGGUUACCGAAUUCAGACAAACUCCGAAUGCCAAUUAAUUUAACUUGGGAGUCAGAACAUGGGUGAUAAGGUCCGUGUUCGAAAGGGAAACAGCCCAGACCACCAGCUAAGGUCCCAAAAUAUAUGUUAAGUGGAAAAGGAUGUGGCGUUGCCCAGACAACUAGGAUGUUGGCUUAGAAGCAGCCAUCAUUUAAAGAGUGCGUAAUAGCUCACUAGUCGAGUGACACUGCGCCGAAAAUGUACCGGGGCUAAACAUAUUACCGAAGCUGUGGAUUGUCCUUUGGACAAUGGUAGGAGAGCGUUCUAAGGGCGUUGAAGCAUGAUCGUAAGGACAUGUGGAGCGCUUAGAAGUGAGAAUGCCGGUGUGAGUAGCGAAAGACGGGUGAGAAUCCCGUCCACCGAUUGACUAAGGUUUCCAGAGGAAGGCUCGUCCGCUCUGGGUUAGUCGGGUCCUAAGCUGAGGCCGACAGGCGUAGGCGAUGGAUAACAGGUUGAUAUUCCUGUACCACCUAUAAUCGUUUUAAUCGAUGGGGGGACGCAGUAGGAUAGGCGAAGCGUGCGAUUGGAUUGCACGUCUAAGCAGUAAGGCUGAGUAUUAGGCAAAUCCGGUACUCGUUAAGGCUGAGCUGUGAUGGGGAGAAGACAUUGAGUCUUCGAGUCGUUGAUUUCACACUGCCGAGAAAAGCCUCUAGAUAGAAAAUAGGUGCCCGUACCGCAAACCGACACAGGUAGUCAAGAUGAGAAUUCUAAGGUGAGCGAGCGAACUCUCGUUAAGGAACUCGGCAAAAUGACCCCGUAACUUCGGGAGAAGGGGUGCUCUUUAGGGUUAACGCCCAGAAGAGCCGCAGUGAAUAGGCCCAAGCGACUGUUUAUCAAAAACACAGGUCUCUGCUAAACCGUAAGGUGAUGUAUAGGGGCUGACGCCUGCCCGGUGCUGGAAGGUUAAGAGGAGUGGUUAGCUUCUGCGAAGCUACGAAUCGAAGCCCCAGUAAACGGCGGCCGUAACUAUAACGGUCCUAAGGUAGCGAAAUUCCUUGUCGGGUAAGUUCCGACCCGCACGAAAGGCGUAACGAUUUGGGCACUGUCUCAACGAGAGACUCGGUGAAAUCAUAGUACCUGUGAAGAUGCAGGUUACCCGCGACAGGACGGAAAGACCCCGUGGAGCUUUACUGUAGCCUGAUAUUGAAAUUCGGCACAGCUUGUACAGGAUAGGUAGGAGCCUUUGAAACGUGAGCGCUAGCUUACGUGGAGGCGCUGGUGGGAUACUACCCUAGCUGUGUUGGCUUUCUAACCCGCACCACUUAUCGUGGUGGGAGACAGUGUCAAGCGGGCAGUUUGACUGGGGCGGUCGCCUCCUAAAAGGUAACGGAGGCGCUCAAAGGUUCCCUCAGAAUGGUUGGAAAUCAUUCAUAGAGUGUAAAGGCAUAAGGGAGCUUGACUGCGAGACCUACAAGUCGAGCAGGGUCGAAAGACGGACUUAGUGAUCCGGUGGUUCCGCAUGGAAGGGCCAUCGCUCAACGGAUAAAAGCUACCCCGGGGAUAACAGGCUUAUCUCCCCCAAGAGUUCACAUCGACGGGGAGGUUUGGCACCUCGAUGUCGGCUCAUCGCAUCCUGGGGCUGUAGUCGGUCCCAAGGGUUGGGCUGUUCGCCCAUUAAAGCGGUACGCGAGCUGGGUUCAGAACGUCGUGAGACAGUUCGGUCCCUAUCCGUCGUGGGCGUAGGAAAUUUGAGAGGAGCUGUCCUUAGUACGAGAGGACCGGGAUGGACAUACCUCUGGUGUACCAGUUGUCGUGCCAACGGCAUAGCUGGGUAGCUAUGUGUGGACGGGAUAAGUGCUGAAAGCAUCUAAGCAUGAAGCCCCCCUCAAGAUGAGAUUUCCCAACUUCGGUUAUAAGAUCCCUCAAAGAUGAUGAGGUUAAUAGGUUCGAGGUGGAAGCAUGGUGACAUGUGGAGCUGACGAAUACUAAUCGAUCGAAGACUUAAUCAA
Molecule: ribosomal RNA, 2921 nt
Filed under: Staphylococcus aureus DAR5844
Lineage: Bacteria; Bacillati; Bacillota; Bacilli; Caryophanales; Staphylococcaceae
Also listed under: 3 other names
Description: bacterial LSU rRNA
Rfam family: Bacterial large subunit ribosomal RNA
Source: RNAcentral